Molecule: ribosomal RNA, 463 nt
Filed under: uncultured bacterium
Lineage: Bacteria
Description: partial 16S ribosomal RNA
Rfam family: Bacterial small subunit ribosomal RNA
Source: RNAcentral
GACGAACGCUGGCGGCGUGCUUAACACAUGCAAGUCGAACGGAAAGGCCUUUUCGGAGGUACUCGAGUGGCGAACGGGUGAGUAACACGUGGGUGAUCUGCCCUGCACUCUGGGAUAAGCCUGGGAAACUGGGUCUAAUACCGGAUAGGACCGCACUUUAGUGUGUGUGGUGGAAAGUUUUUUCGGUGUAGGAUGAGCCCGCGGCCUAUCAGCUUGUUGGUGGGGUAAUGGCCUACCAAGGCGGCGACGGGUAGCCGGACUGAGAGGUUGGUCGGCCACAUUGGGACUGAGAUACGGCCCAGACGCCGACGGGAGGCAGCAGGGGGGAAUAUUGCACAAUGGGCGCAAGCCUGAUGCAGCGACGCCGCGUGGGGGAUGACGGCCUUCGGGUUGUAAACUCCUUUCGCCAGGGACGAAGCGUUUUGUGACGGUACCUGGAGAAGAAGCACCGGCUAACUACGUG